RNAcentral lists this ribosomal RNA (499 nucleotides) under Centroptilum luteolum. RNAcentral describes it as "partial 16S ribosomal RNA". It matches the Rfam family "Bacterial large subunit ribosomal RNA", at positions 1832 to 2601 of the family's 2925-position model. Lineage: Eukaryota; Metazoa; Arthropoda; Insecta; Ephemeroptera; Baetidae. The record is from RNAcentral.
CGCUUGAGGCUUUGAUCUUAAGUAUUGUCUGCCCAAUGAAUUUCAAUGGCCGCAGUAUUUUGACUGUGCAAAGGUAGCAUAAUCAUUUGUCUUUUAAUUGAAGGCUUGUAUGAAUGGCGUGACGUAGGGGUAGCUUUCCCUUUAGUAUGUUAAAAUUUAAUUUGUAAGUCAAAAAGCUUACUUAAUAGCGCAGGACGAGAAGACCCCGUAGAUCUUUAUAAUAUGUGGUGAGAAGUACGUUAGGUGUUUAAUAACCCUCGCACUCUAAUUAUUUGGUUGGGGUGACAUGAAUUGAAUCAACAAUUUUUACUAUUACCUAAAUUAGUGGUUUUGUGACCCGGUACCCGAGUAAAAGACUAAGUUACCUCGGGGAUAACAGCGUAAUCUACUUUUAGAGCCCUAAUCAAAGAGUAGGGUUGCGACCUCGAUGUUGGAUUAAGAUACAUUUUAAACGCAGCCGUUUAAUUAUGGGGUCUGUUCGACCUUUAAAUUCUUACAU